RNAcentral lists this ribosomal RNA (476 nucleotides) under uncultured bacterium. RNAcentral describes it as "partial 16S ribosomal RNA". The stretch from base 21 to 303 matches the Rfam family "Bacterial small subunit ribosomal RNA", at positions 48 to 357 of the family's 1533-position model. The record is from RNAcentral.
AGCGAACGCUGGCGGCAGGCUUAACACAUGCAAGUCGAGCGGGCGUAGCAAUACGUCAGCGGCAGACGGGUGAGUAACGCGUGGGAACGUACCUUUUGGUUCGGAACAACACAGGGAAACUUGUGCUAAUACCGGAUAAGCCCUUACGGGGAAAGAUUUAUCGCCGAAAGAUCGGCCCGCGUCUGAUUAGCUAGUUGGUGAGGUAACGGCUCACCAAGGCGACGAUCAGUAGCUGGUCUGAGAGGAUGAUCAGCCACAUUGGGACUGAGACACGGCCCAAAGUAGACGGGCAGGCGGGAGCGGCGAAAGUGCGCAGAGGGGGACAAGCGGCAUCAGGGGAAGGGGGGGGGGGGAGGAGGCGCGUGGGUUGGUAAGGCGUUUGGGGGAGGAAAAAAAAUGAAGGGACAGAAACAAAAAGCCCCGGCGAUGGCCGAGACAGCAGCCGGGGUAAUAAGGGGAAGAGCACACGUAUGACC